This 292-nucleotide ribosomal RNA is filed under the name uncultured bacterium. Its description in RNAcentral is "partial 16S ribosomal RNA". It matches the Rfam family "Bacterial small subunit ribosomal RNA", at positions 505 to 796 of the family's 1533-position model. The record is from RNAcentral.
GUGUCAGCAGCCGCGGUAAUACGAAGGAUCCAAGCGUUAUCCGGAUUUAUUGGGUUUAAAGGGUGCGUAGGCGGGUUAUUAAGUCAGUGGUGAAAUCUUGCAGCUUAACUGUAAAAUUGCCAUUGAUACUGAUGACCUUGAGUACGUUUGAAGUGGGCGGAAUAUGUCAUGUAGUGGUGAAAUACUUAGAGAUGACAUAGAACACCGAUUGCGAAGGCAGCUCACUAAACCGUAACUGACGCUGAGGCACGAAAGCGUGGGGAUCAAACAGGAUUAGAUACCCUGGUAGUCC